RNAcentral lists this long non-coding RNA (620 nucleotides) under Bos taurus (domestic cattle). Its description in RNAcentral is "long non-coding RNA NONBTAT025574". Lineage: Eukaryota; Metazoa; Chordata; Mammalia; Artiodactyla; Bovidae. The record is from RNAcentral.
AGAAAACUGAGGAAAUUUUAUUAUUCUCCUUUACAUUGGAGCAUUUUCACCUAACAAAGAGUUAGCAAAUCUCUUCUCUGAUCUAGACAUGUUUACACUAUGUGUUUCUGUGCUCAAGAUAAGCUUUCAUUUUUCUACUUUCAAAACAAAAUAGCUUAAUAAUGAAUACAACUGCACUCUGCUUUUAAUGGCUUAUAGACUUACAUGAUUCUUAAAUGCAUAAUUCACAGAACUAUUAAAUAACUGCAGCUACAUACACAGUCCUAAAUAAAAUAUCAGGUUUAAAAUCCAAAGUACAAAGACCAUUAAAAACAGUUUAUUUGCCAAAUCCACUGAGAAACUAGAAGCAACCUAACAGCUGUCUAAAUAACCACAAAAUAUUAAAAACACUUCUGGCUCAAUAUAAAUGACAUCUGAAGUGAAAUGUUGCCUCCUCCAACAGACAUCUCAUUUGUUUGUGUAGAACCAUUUAUACUUCAUUUAAGCCAGCUGGUGUCUCCAUUUGCAGGCAUGCAUCAAUGUCUACAGAACAAUCUAAGUUCCUGUAAACCCUUCCCCAUUCACAAGCUGCAAUUUCCAUUCUUAAUGGCAAGUUUCCAGCAAAUACAAUGAGCUUUUAC